This 162-nucleotide small RNA is filed under the name Erwinia tracheiphila. RNAcentral describes it as "Glm Y RNA activator of glmS mRNA". It matches the Rfam family "Glm Y RNA activator of glmS mRNA". From Rfam's summary of the family: This family consists of a number of bacterial RNA genes of around 167 bases in length. The function of this RNA is unknown. Lineage: Bacteria; Pseudomonadati; Pseudomonadota; Gammaproteobacteria; Enterobacterales; Erwiniaceae. The record is from Rfam by way of RNAcentral.
GGUGGCUCAUUCGCCUGGUUAUGAAAGCCCUGCGCAAGCGGUAAAGUGCUUCUUAACACUUCGAAUGACGCACAAAACGGUGCCUGCCGUCCUCCAGACCGAUAUUCGCUCACAGCGGGCCUUAUCAAGCAUCGGACGAAACGUUGAGUUAGGCACCACUUA